This 458-nucleotide ribosomal RNA is filed under the name uncultured bacterium. Its description in RNAcentral is "partial 16S ribosomal RNA". It matches the Rfam family "Bacterial small subunit ribosomal RNA", at positions 28 to 523 of the family's 1533-position model. The record is from RNAcentral.
GAUGAACGCUGGCGGCGUGCCUAAUACAUGCAAGUCGAGCGGUAAGGCCACUUCGGUGGUACACGAGCGGCGGACGGCUGAGUAACGCGUAGGAACAUACCCCAAACUGAGGGAUAACUGCCCGAAAGGGUAGCUAAUACCGCAUGUGCUCUUCGGAGUAAAGCUACGGCGGUUUGGGAAUGGCCUGCGUCCGAUUAGCUAGUUGGUGAGGUAAUAGCUCACCAAGGCGACGAUCGGUAGCUGGUCUGAGAGGAUGAUCAGCCAGACUGGGACUGAGAACGGCCCAGACUCCUACGGGAGGCAGCAGUAGGGAAUUUUCCACAAUGGACGAAAGUCUGAUGGAGCAACGCCGCGUGCAGGAUGAAGGCUUUCGGGUCGUAAACUGCUUUUAUCUGUGAAGAUUAUGACGGUAGCAGAUGAAUAAGGAUCGGCUAACUCCGUGCCAGCCGCCGCGGUAA